This is a non-coding RNA of Cajanus cajan (pigeon pea), 802 nucleotides long. The record is from RefSeq and is a predicted model, not a curated record. Lineage: Eukaryota; Viridiplantae; Streptophyta; Magnoliopsida; Fabales; Fabaceae.
AUUCUUUUUACCAUCUUAUUUUCUUCAAUAACUGUUUAUUGAUUUUUUUUUCUUUAUUCAAACAAGACCUUAAACUUAUUCCAUUAGUUAAAACCAAGUUAUUUCUCAUAUAACUGCAUAUUGAAAUGUUUUAUUCAAACAGGGCCUUAAAUUUCUCCCAUAAAUUGAAAUUAACUUGUGUCAUGAGUAGUGAUUUUGGUGGUGUGAGUUCAUUUGCAUUAGUAAUUUAUUUACUCAGAGUGGUUGCUGCUAUUCAUGCGCGUGAAUUUUUGUAAUGGAUGCAGGUAUUCCUUCACCAAGGCUCUCUGCAUAGCCUUUGUAAUGACCUUCUUUUCCGUAUUUGAUGUUCCUGUCUUUUGGCCCAUAUUACUCUGUUACUGGUUUGUUCUCUUUGUCCUUACAAUGAGGCGCCAAAUUGCACACAUGAUCAAAUACAAAUAUAUUCCCUUCAACUUGGGGAAGCAGAAGUAUGGCAGUAAGAAAUCUUCUGCAGGUAGCAGUGGCUCUCGGGCAGACUGAUACUUGGCUCUCAUGAUUUGAAUGUCUGCUUAGGUUAGGUUUUGAGAACAUUCAGGCUAGUUAAUUUCCCCUCUUUUUUCGUAAAAACUUGUAUUCAUGGCAUUAUGGAUGCCGGUAUGCACAGUGUGCAGUUACAGAAAAUCUUAAACGUCCACUCGUUGUUAUAUUAUACAUAUUAUACCUGAAGUGAAGAUGUGCUAAUAUUGGCAGUGAAUUUCAUUGUCACUACACAUGUAUUCAUUGGAUUUUCUUGUAAAUCUCAGCCUGUAUUGUUAAUUUUUUA